ACGAAGUCUUCGGACUUAGUGGCAGACGGGUGAGUAACGCGUGGGAACCUACCUUUCGGUACGGAACAACAGUUGGAAACGACUGCUAAUACCGUAUGCGCCCUACGGGGGAAAGAUUUAUCGCCGAAAGAUGGGCCCGCGUUGGAUUAGCUAGUUGGUAGGGUAAUGGCCUACCAAGGCGACGAUCCAUAGCUGGUCUGAGAGGAUGAUCAGCCACACUGGGACUGAGACACGGCCCAGACUCCUACGGGAGGCAGCAGUGGGGAAUAUUGGACAAUGGGGGCAACCCUGAUCCAGCCAUGCCGCGUGAGUGAUGAAGGCCUUAGGGUUGUAAAGCUCUUUCAGCGAGGAGGAUAAUGACGUUACUCGCAGAAGAAGCCCCGGCUAACUUCGUGCCAGCAGCCGCGGUAAUACGAAGGGGGCUAGCGUUGUUCGGAAUCACUGGGCGUAAAGCGCACGUAGGCGGACUUUUAAGUCAGGGGUGAAAUCCCGGAGCUCAACUCCGGAACUGCCUUUGAUACUGGAAGUCUUGAGUCCGAGAGAGGUGAGUGGAACUCCGAGUGUAGAGGUGAAAUUCGUAGAUAUUCGGAAGAACACCAGUGGCGAA
This 607-nucleotide ribosomal RNA is filed under the name Stappia sp. 23-43. Its description in RNAcentral is "bacterial SSU rRNA". It matches the Rfam family "Bacterial small subunit ribosomal RNA", at positions 66 to 719 of the family's 1533-position model. The record is from RNAcentral. Lineage: Bacteria; Pseudomonadati; Pseudomonadota; Alphaproteobacteria; Hyphomicrobiales; Stappiaceae.